GACUCGUCACACUAUCAUUAACUGAAUCCAUAGGUUAAUGAGGCGAACCGGGGGAACUGAAACAUCUAAGUACCCCGAGGAAAAGAAAUCAACCGAGAUUCCCCCAGUAGCGGCGAGCGAACGGGGAGGAGCCCAGAGCCUGAAUCAGCAUGUGUGUUAGUGGAAGCGUCUGGAAAGGCGCGCGAUACAGGGUGACAGCCCCGUACACAAAAGCGCAUGUGCUGUGAGCUCGAUGAGUAGGGCGGGACACGUGGUAUCCUGUCUGAAUAUGGGGGGACCAUCCUCCAAGGCUAAAUACUCCUGACUGACCGAUAGUGAACCAGUACCGUGAGGGAAAGGCGAAAAGAACCCCGGCGAGGGGAGUGAAAAAGAACCUGAAACCGUGUACGUACAAGCAGUGGGAGCACAGGUUUACCUGUGUGACUGCGUACCUUUUGUAUAAUGGGUCAGCGACUUAU
RNAcentral lists this ribosomal RNA (458 nucleotides) under Salmonella enterica. RNAcentral describes it as "partial 23S ribosomal RNA". It matches the Rfam family "Bacterial large subunit ribosomal RNA", at positions 137 to 631 of the family's 2925-position model. RNAcentral also lists the same sequence under 2 other names. Lineage: Bacteria; Pseudomonadati; Pseudomonadota; Gammaproteobacteria; Enterobacterales; Enterobacteriaceae. The record is from RNAcentral.